AGCAGCCGCGGUAAUUCCAGCUCCAAUAGCGUAUAUUAAAGUUGUUGCGGUUAAAAAGCUCGUAGUUGGAUCUCGGGACCAAUAUGUCGGUCGUGCCUCGGUACGUACUGGCAUCGUUGGUUUCUCCCUUCUGACGAACCAUGAUGUCAUUUAUUUGGUGUCGUGGGGAAUCAGGACUGUUACUUUGAAAAAAUUAGAGUGUUUAAAGCAGGCUCACGCUUGAAUACAUUAGCAUGGAAUAAUGAAAUAGGACGUUUGAUUCUAUUUUGUUGGUUUUUAGGAUCAACGUAAUGAUUAAUAGGGAUAGUUGGGGGCAUUAGUAUUCAAUUGUCAGAGGUGAAAUUCUUGGAUUUAUUGAAGACUAACUACUGCGAAAGCAUUUGCCAAGGUUGUUUUCAUUAAUCAAGAACGAAAGUUAGGGGAUCGAAGACGGAUCAGAUACCGUCGUAGUCUUAACCAUAAACUAUGUCCGACUAGGGAUCGGACGAAGUUAAUUUAUAAUUGACGCGUUCGGCNCCUU
RNAcentral lists this ribosomal RNA (520 nucleotides) under uncultured Glomus. RNAcentral's name for it is "SSU rRNA". It matches the Rfam family "Eukaryotic small subunit ribosomal RNA", at positions 569 to 1089 of the family's 1831-position model. Lineage: Eukaryota; Fungi; Glomeromycota; Glomeromycetes; Glomerales; Glomeraceae. The record is from RNAcentral.